This 337-nucleotide unclassified non-coding RNA is filed under the name soil metagenome. RNAcentral's name for it is "partial contains 5.8S ribosomal RNA, internal transcribed spacer 2, and large subunit ribosomal RNA". The stretch from base 1 to 120 matches the Rfam family "5.8S ribosomal RNA", at positions 35 to 154 of the family's 154-position model. The record is from RNAcentral.
GAUGAAGAACGCAGCGAAAUGCGAUAAGCAGUGUGAAUUGCAGAAUUCAGUGAAUCAUCGAAUCUUUGAACGCACAUUGCGCCCCUUGGUAUUCCAUGGGGCAUGCCUGUUCGAGCGUCAUUUGUACCUUCAAGCUCUGCUUGGUGUUGGGUGUUUGUCUCGCCUCUGCGUGUAGACUCGCCUCAAAACAAUUGGCAGCCGGCGUAUUGAUUUCGGAGCGCAGUACAUCUCGCGCUUUGCACUCAUAACGACGACGUCCAAAAGUACAUUUUUACACUCUUGACCUCGGAUCAGGUAGGGAUACCCGCUGAACUUAAGCAUAUCAAUAAGCGGAGGA